This 435-nucleotide ribosomal RNA is filed under the name uncultured bacterium. RNAcentral describes it as "partial 16S ribosomal RNA". It matches the Rfam family "Bacterial small subunit ribosomal RNA", at positions 29 to 507 of the family's 1533-position model. The record is from RNAcentral.
AGCGAACGCUGGCGGCAGGCUUAACACAUGCAAGUCGAGCGGGCACUCUCGGGUGUCAGCGGUGGACGGGUGAGUAACGCGUGGGAACGUGCCCUCUGGUUCGGAAUAACUCAGGGAAACUUGAGCUAAUACCGGAUACGCCCGUUUGGGGAAAGGCUUGCUGCCGGAGGAUCGGCUCGCGUCUGAUUAGCUGGUUGGUGAGGUAACGGCUCACCAAGGCGACGAUUAGUAGAUGGACUGAGAGGAGGAUCAGCGACACUGGGACUGGGACACGGCCCAGACUCUUACGAGAGGCAGGAGAGGUGUAUAUUGGACAGGGGGCGCAAGGCUGAACCAGCCAGGCCGGGAGAAUGAUGUUGGCCUUAGGGAUGUAAAGCUCUUUUAUCCGGGACGAUAAUGACGGUACCGGAUGAAUAAGCCCCGGCUAACUACGUG